GUUGGAGCUUUCGACAUGGCCCUGCUGCUGCUGGUGGGGUUACUGCACAUUCGGAAACAUAAGGAAACCACCACAGAUAUCCCGACUUCUGCUUCCUCCUUCCAGUCUUUCUCAUCUAUAUACACAGUGGCAACUUAUACUGUCACCAAAACCCAGGAGGGAGAAAGCUUCCUGAGAGCAAAGACAGCUGACUGAAGGAAGGAGAAGUGUGUCUUUUUCUUCUUUCAACAAGAAAAUAUCCAUCCAAGAGCAUGAUAAGAAAUAUGUCAAGAAGCAGCUGUAGAUAUUGCAGUUAUUGCUGAUUGUUAACGGUUAACGUGUGACUUGUAUUAAAGUAGAUAUUCCCGGAACAGAA
Centropristis striata (black sea bass) is the source of this 355-nucleotide long non-coding RNA. RefSeq lists it as uncharacterized. The record is from RefSeq and is a predicted model, not a curated record. NCBI's taxonomy places the organism in Eukaryota, Metazoa, Chordata, Actinopteri, Perciformes, Serranidae. The transcript has 4 exons.